AUUAAAUUAGGUUCUUAAUUGGGUUAAGACCUAUUUUAAUUAGGUUGAUCUAAUUUUGGUUUGAUUUGGUUUGAGAAACCAAAUUAAAAUAAGUCAUAAGAUAGAAUCCUAGUAAGACUAGGAUUCCACCUUGCACCACAAAAGCCUUCCCGAUGCCCUCUCUCUCAUUCAACGCCAAUCUCCUCUUAUUUUGUGUGACAAAUGCCCUCUCCCAGGUCUCUCCCACGUUCAAAAAAGGUCUCCUCUCUUCUUUCUAACAUGGAAGGUGGUUUGGAUCAAAUCAAAGAGGAAUAAGUAUGGAUUUCAAAUUCUAUGAGAUAGAGUUUUAGAAAUUCAAAACUCUUUCAAUUUUGCACCGAAUUUAUCCAUUUUUUUUUUUGGAAUUUUCGUGGCUUUUAGGGU
Molecule: long non-coding RNA, 402 nt
Filed under: Elaeis guineensis (African oil palm)
Lineage: Eukaryota; Viridiplantae; Streptophyta; Magnoliopsida; Arecales; Arecaceae
Description: long non-coding RNA (EGUI_LNC067761)
Source: RNAcentral